GGCGGCGCUGCUUAACACAUGCAAGUCGAACGAUGAAGCCUUUCGGGGUGGAUUAGUGGCGAACGGGUGAGUAACACGUGGGCAAUCUGCCCUUCACUCUGGGACAAGCCCUGGAAACGGGGUCUAAUACCGGAUAACACUCUGUCCCGCAUGGGACGGGGUUAAAAGCUCCGGCGGUGAAGGAUGAGCCCGCGGCCUAUCAGCUUGUUGGUGGGGUGAUGGCCUACCAAGGCGACGACGGGUAGCCGGCCUGAGAGGGCGACCGGCCACACUGGGACUGACACACGGCCCAGACUCCUACGGGAGGCAGCAGUGGGGAAUAUUGCACAAUGGGCGAAAGCCUGAUGCAGCGACGCCGCGUGAGGGAUGACGGCCUUCGGGUUGUAAACCUCUUUCAGCAGGGAAGAAGCGAAAGUGACGGUACCUGCAGAAGAA
RNAcentral lists this ribosomal RNA (435 nucleotides) under Streptomyces griseus. RNAcentral's name for it is "bacterial SSU rRNA". It matches the Rfam family "Bacterial small subunit ribosomal RNA", at positions 38 to 489 of the family's 1533-position model. The record is from RNAcentral. Lineage: Bacteria; Bacillati; Actinomycetota; Actinomycetes; Kitasatosporales; Streptomycetaceae.